Molecule: ribosomal RNA, 465 nt
Filed under: uncultured bacterium
Lineage: Bacteria
Description: partial 16S ribosomal RNA
Rfam family: Bacterial small subunit ribosomal RNA
Source: RNAcentral
GAUGAACGCUGGCGGCGUGCUUAACACAUGCAAGUCGAGCGGAAAGACCCUGCUUGCAGGGUACUCGAGUGGCGAACGGGUGAGUAACACGUAGGUGAUCUGCCCUGCACUUCGGGUUAAGCCUGGGAAACUGGGUCUAAUACCGGCUAGGAGCCAUUUUUAGUGUGAUGGUUGGAAAGUUUUUUCGGUGUAGGAUGAGCUCGCGGCCUAUCAGCUUGUUGGUGGGGUAAUGGCCUACCAAGGCGGCGAGGGGUAGCCGGCCUGAGAGGGUGGACGGCCACACUGGGACUGAGAGACGGCAGAGAUGCCGACGGGAGGCAGAUGUGGGGAAUCUUGCACAAGGGGCGCCAGCUUGAUGAAGCGGGGCUGCGUGGGGGAUGACGGUCUUAGUGUUGUAAAAUACUUUCGCUAGGGACGAAGCUUUUUGUGACGGUACCUAGAGAAGAAGCACCGGCUAACUACGUG